This 494-nucleotide ribosomal RNA is filed under the name uncultured bacterium. Its description in RNAcentral is "partial 16S ribosomal RNA". It matches the Rfam family "Bacterial small subunit ribosomal RNA", at positions 28 to 507 of the family's 1533-position model. The record is from RNAcentral.
GAUGAACGCUGGCGGCGUGCCUAAUACAUGCAAGUCGAGCGAACAGAUGAGGAGCUUGCUCCUCUGACGUUAGCGGCGGACGGGUGAGUAACACGUGGAUAACCUACCUAUAAGACUGGGAUAACUUCGGGAAACCGGAGCUAAUACCGGAUAAUAUAUUGAACCGCAUGGUUCAAUAGUGAAAGACGGUUUUGCUGUCACUUAUAGAUGGAUCCGCGCCGCAUUAGCUAGUUGGUAAGGUAACGGCUUACCAAGGCGACGAUGCGUAGCCGACCUGAGAGGGUGAUCGGCCACACUGGAACUGAGACACGGUCCAGACUCCUACGAGAGGCAGCAGGGAAUCUUCCGCAAUGGGCGAAAGCCUGACGGAGCAACGCCGCGUGAGUGAUGAAGGUCUUCGGAUCGUAAAACUCUGUUAUUAGGGAAGAACAAAUGUGUAAGUAACUAUGCACGUCUUGACGGUACCUAAUCAGAAAGCCACGGCUAACUACGUG